AGACGAAGGUGGCUAGCGUUGUUCGGUGUCACUGGGCUUAAAGAGUAUGUAGGCGGAAAAGUAAGCGCUUUGUGAAAUCCCUCGGCUUAACCGAGGAAUUGCUUGGCGAACUGCUUUUCUUGAGGCAAGUAGGGGUGCAUGGAACUCUUGGUGGAGCGGUGGAAUGCGUAGAUAUCAAGAGGAACGCCAAUGGAGAAAUCAGUGCACUGGGCUUGUCCUGACGCUGAGAUACGAAAGCGUGGGUAGCGAACGGGAUUAGAUACCCCGGUAGUCCACGCCGUAAACGAUGUCUACUAGGUUGCGGGUGUUCUGACACAAUCGCGACCGAAGCAAAAGUGUUAAGUAGACCGCCUGGGGAGUACGGUCGCAAGGCUAAA
This 377-nucleotide ribosomal RNA is filed under the name uncultured bacterium. RNAcentral describes it as "bacterial SSU rRNA". It matches the Rfam family "Bacterial small subunit ribosomal RNA", at positions 523 to 898 of the family's 1533-position model. The record is from RNAcentral.